GUGUCAGCAGCCGCGGUAAGACGUAGGGCGCGAGCGUUGUCCGGAUUUAUUGGGCGUAAAGAGCGCGUAGGCGGUCCGGUAAGUCCGCUCUGAAAGUCCGGGGCUCAACCCCGUGAGGCGGGCGGAUACUGCCGGGCUAGAGUCCGGAAGAGGCGAGUGGAAUUCCUGGUGUAGCGGUGAAAUGCGCAGAUAUCGGGAGGAACACCGGUGGCGAAGGCGGUUCUCUGGGCCUGUUCUGACGCUGAGGAGCGAAAGCGUGGGGAGCGAACAGGAUUAGAUACCCUUGUAGUCC
Molecule: ribosomal RNA, 292 nt
Filed under: uncultured bacterium
Lineage: Bacteria
Description: partial 16S ribosomal RNA
Rfam family: Bacterial small subunit ribosomal RNA
Source: RNAcentral